CGUGGCCGUUCUUGCGACAACGGAGUUUCAAUUAGGUUAAGGAGGACGACUUUUUCUGGUCAAUCUCCAGCGUAAGCCGUUGUAGUGUCGAACCGAUAGGAUUUCUUUUCUCUUGCAAUGGAAAAUCAGCAACGUAACGGAACUCAAACCGGAUUCAAUCAAUGUCAUUAAAGUUUUCCUUAACUUCAUCUCCCCCACUCCUUCCAUGAUUCUUCAGCUCCCACCUAGCUUCCAGUCGGUGAAACUACAUAUAUAAAUAGCUGAGUCUUGAUUCCGUAAACCUCAUCAUUUUAUUCUUCACAUCAUAUAAACUCUAAAAACUUUUGUAGAGCACAAUGGAAAAGUCCUCUCGCCUGUGAGCUCUUGCAGGAAGCCCGAGACUUCACGGCGGAAGAUAAUCGUCGAAAAGGAGUGUGGCACAGUAGGAGGAAGAAAGCGGCGGCGAUGGAGGAGAGAAAGAGGAUGAAAGUGGUUAAGAAUAAAGAGAAAGCCAUUGAUGAUAGUGAGGAAAGGUAUUAAUGGUGGGUUGGACGGAGGUUUCUGCAUAAAGGAUGAAUUGAAGUUGGAAGUGCAGGAUCUACUGUCCGAUGGUUUCAGAUUGCUUUCUUUGCAAUUGGUUCCUUAUUAUGUUUAACCAGGGAAGCUUGAAGAUCAUCAACCACCAUCCCUACUUCAAAUGGAGUUACAAAACGUAGACAUAUUCUCAGUCGUCGAUAGGUGCACAGGAGGUGGUGACGGUGAGAGAUCAGCUGGAGAAGAAGGAGCGAGAUCCAUGAUUAUCGAGUGAGAGGAGACAGAGCCAGAGAUUAACGACGCACAAGCAGAGACUUUGGACCUUGGAGUGAAGACCAGAUCUCCAAUCGAAAUCAAUGGUCAGAAUCGUCUCCGCUUAUGAACGACGGGGCCGAGAUUCACACGUGUAACUAACCACUGUUCCCGUAAGGAUCAAAAGCAAAAUCGAGCUUGCAAGAAAAUUCAUAGCGGUACCAGUGAGAGAGAGAGACCAGAACUCAGAGGUUUGUCCGCUUUGGGUCAAAGAUCAGAGAGAUAAUACAAUCAUUUUUUGCAAUGUGUAAUCUUUUUAUUCGUGUACAAACGUCAACUUUGCUUAAAUGAUUAUCUUUCCUAUGCCA
Brassica napus (rape) is the source of this 1133-nucleotide RNA transcript. RefSeq lists it as uncharacterized. The transcript is spliced from 5 exons. NCBI's taxonomy places the organism in Eukaryota, Viridiplantae, Streptophyta, Magnoliopsida, Brassicales, Brassicaceae. The record is from RefSeq and is a predicted model, not a curated record.